GACGAACGCUGGCGGCGUGCCUAACACAUGCAAGUCGAACGGAGUUAAGACUUCGGUUUUAACUUAGUGGCGAACGGGUGAGUAACGCGUGAGAAACCUGCCUUUCAGUGGGGGACAACAGUUGGAAACGACUGCUAAUACCGCAUAAUGUUGCGAGAGGGCAUCCUCUUGCAACCAAAGCUUUAUGUGCUGAAAGAUGGUCUCGCGUCUGAUUAGCUAGUUGGUGAGGUAACGGCUCACCAAGGCGACGAUCAGUAGCCGGUCUGAGAGGAUGAACGGCCACAUUGGGACUGAGAUACGGCCCAGACUCCUACGGGAGACAGCAGUUAGGAAUAUUCGUCAAUGGAGGAAACUCUGAACGAGCAAUGCCGCGUGAGUGAUGAAGGUUUUCGGAUCGUAAACUCCUGUCCUCAGGGAAGAGCAGAAGACGGGUACCUGAGGAGGAAGCCCCGGCUAACUACGUG
RNAcentral lists this ribosomal RNA (464 nucleotides) under uncultured bacterium. Its description in RNAcentral is "bacterial SSU rRNA". It matches the Rfam family "Bacterial small subunit ribosomal RNA", at positions 28 to 507 of the family's 1533-position model. The record is from RNAcentral.